UUUAAGGUUUAAUCUGCUCAAUGAUUAUUUAAAUUGCCGCAGUAUUUUGACUGUGCAAAGGUAGCAUAAUAAUUAGUUUCUUUAUUGGGAACUGGAAUGAAUGAUUGGACGAGAAAAUUUCUGUCUCUUUAUUAUUUUAAUUGAAUUUUACUUUUAAGUUAAAAGGCUUAAAUUUUAUUAGAGGACGAGAAGACCCUAUAGAGUUUAAUUUUUAUUUAAAUAAUUAUUUUUAGUAUUUAUAUAUAUUAUUUAAAUAAAAAUUUAGUUGGGGUGACUAAAAGAUAAGAAUAACUCUUUUAAUUUUUAUCAAUUAUUUUUGAUUAUAAAAUCUUUAUUUUUAAUUUUAAAAUAAAUUACCUUAGGGAUAACAGCGUAAUUCUUUUUUAAAGUUCUUAUUAAAAGAAGAGUUUGCGACCUCGAUGUUGGAUUAAAAUUAAUUUUAGGUGUAGAAGCUUGAAAAUUAAGUCUGUUCGACUUUUAAAAUUUUACAUGAUCUGAGUUUAAACCGGUGUGAGCCAGGUUGGUUUCU
RNAcentral lists this ribosomal RNA (529 nucleotides) under Pteroptyx tener. Its description in RNAcentral is "partial large subunit ribosomal RNA". It matches the Rfam family "Bacterial large subunit ribosomal RNA", at positions 1846 to 2639 of the family's 2925-position model. The record is from RNAcentral. Lineage: Eukaryota; Metazoa; Arthropoda; Insecta; Coleoptera; Lampyridae.